CGUAGGGUGCGAGCGUUAAUCGGAAUUACUGGGCGUAAAGCGUGCGCAGGCGGUUUUGUAAGACAGAUGUGAAAUCCCCCGGGCUCAACCUGGGACCUGCAUUUGUGACUGCAAGGCUAGAGUACGGUAGAGGGGGAGUGGAAUUCCGCGUGUAGCAGUGAAAUGCGUAGAUAUGCGGAGGAACACCGAUGGCGAAGGCAAUCCCCUGGACCUGUACUGACGCUCAUGCACGAAAGCGUGGGGAGCAAACAGGAUUAGAUACCCUGGUAGUCCACGCCCUAAACGAUGUCAACUGGUUGUUGGGUCUUUACUGACUCAGUAACGAAGCUAACGCGUGAAGUUGACCGCCUGGGGAGUACGGCCGCAAGGUUG
RNAcentral lists this ribosomal RNA (372 nucleotides) under uncultured organism. RNAcentral describes it as "bacterial SSU rRNA". It matches the Rfam family "Bacterial small subunit ribosomal RNA", at positions 526 to 896 of the family's 1533-position model. The record is from RNAcentral.